RNAcentral lists this small RNA (131 nucleotides) under Salmonella enterica subsp. enterica serovar Infantis. Its description in RNAcentral is "RtT sRNA". It matches the Rfam family "RtT RNA". Rfam says of the family: This family represents a bacterial cis-regulatory element known as RtT RNA. Lineage: Bacteria; Pseudomonadati; Pseudomonadota; Gammaproteobacteria; Enterobacterales; Enterobacteriaceae. The record is from RNAcentral. RNAcentral also lists the same sequence under 119 other names.
UAUCUCUCCGUACGGGGAAGGAUGAGAAGCUUCGACUAAGGUUCGAUUCGAGCGCAGCGAGAAAGCGUUGCCGUAGGCAACGACCCGAAGGGCGAAGCGCGCAGCGCUGAGUAAUCCUUCCCCCACCACCA